Molecule: ribosomal RNA, 433 nt
Filed under: uncultured bacterium
Lineage: Bacteria
Description: partial 16S ribosomal RNA
Rfam family: Bacterial small subunit ribosomal RNA
Source: RNAcentral
AACGAACGCUGGCGGCAUGCCUAACACAUGCAAGUCGAACGAGACCUUCGGGUCUAGUGGCGCACGGGUGCGUAACGCGUGGGAACCUGCCCUUAGGUUCGGAAUAACUCCCCGAAAGGGGUGCUAAUACCGGAUAAUGUCUUCGGACCAAAGAUUUAUCGCCUUUGGAUGGGCCCGCGUUGGAUUAGCUAGUUGGUAGGGUAAAAGCCUACCAAGGCGACGAUCCAUAGCUGGUCUGAGAGGAUGAUCAGCCACACUGGGACUGAGACACGGCCCAGACUUCUACCGGAGGCAGCAAGUGGGAAUAUUGGACAAUGGGCGAAAGCCUGAACCAGCAAUGCCGCGUGAGUGAUGAAGGCCUUAGGGUUGUAAAGCUCUUUUACCCGGGAUGAUAAUGACAGUACCGGGAGAAUAAGCUCCGGCUAACUCCGUG